Molecule: long non-coding RNA, 2900 nt
Organism: Zeugodacus cucurbitae (melon fly)
Lineage: Eukaryota; Metazoa; Arthropoda; Insecta; Diptera; Tephritidae
Exons: 5
Source: RefSeq, a predicted model, not a curated record
UUAGGGCUAAUUAGAAGUGAAUUUAAGUUUUUAUUGUAAUUCAUCUUUAGUUUAAAAUAUCUUGACUAGCAAUUUUUUCAAUAUCAUAUUGAUUCAUUUUUAAGAUAUAAUAUGACGUAGUUGCCAACAGCACUCAGAUUCUCGGUGGUACCCAGCAAGUCAUGGGUACUGAAACUCCAACACAUUCAAGGAAAUUUUAAUAACACCACUACCCUGCCAGGCAAAGGUGGUGAAAAAGCUGGUUAAACAGAAGUUUUUUAAACCCACAAAAGUGGUAAAAAAGUGGUGAGUUUGCCAUAGGCCAGCAUAGCUGCUUGUGAGUUUUUUAACCACUAUUCCCCUCAUACGUACGAAUACAAAAACAAAACAACCCAAACGUGUGCGUUGGUGUUAGUAAUUGAAGAAACAUGAGGGGAAAGUGGUUAGGCCUGGCUGGCAGGGUACAUACACACAUAUGCAACAAAGGGCAAAAUGUGCAUAAACAUUUACCUCAACUCUUCUCUCGUACAGCACUCUGAAUGAUAGAAAGAAACAACCAAAGUGCCCGUGUUUGAUCAAGUUUUGUUUUGAGCUAUAUCAUGGCUGCUUGUGAAUUAUUGUUUUUCGUGUGUUAUUUAAAUUAGUGAUCUGCAGCCUAAUUAAAGUUUAAAUUAUUGAAGCACGUAAUUAUUGAAAAUAAAAUAAAAGUUUUCUAAAGCCAAAAUAUGGAAUAGAAGAGGGUGAUACAUUAAUACUUCAUUGCACUGUCAAUUCGAAGCACGCAAUAGAAGCUACGCCAACAAUUGUCAACAUCAAUGGCGAAACCAUUGAAUACAUAUUUCAAACCUCAUAUGGCGCGUUAAAGGUACGCAAACUUAUUGGUGUCACUUAUGGCGUAGAACUUUCGAAGCGAUGGAAUAUGUGCUGCAAGAUAAUCCAGAACUAUGUAUGGAAACGCUGCUACAUGGAACACAAAUCAUUUACACACCAGAUAUUUAGUUUAAUGUCACUUUUUUACGUGCCAUUAAACCUUUUGGUCAACACAAGCACGAGAAUUGGAACGACAUGGUUUAGGUGCUUUUGAAACCGUUUAUUAUCACGACGUGUGUCAACUGGGUUUUGCCAAUGAGCUAGAGGGCAAAGCAGUUUCAGUAUUUUUGGGCUUACCGGCACUUGGCCGUGCCAUUAGCAGCCAAAACACAGAAAUUAAAGAGAGGACUUUUUUGAUUAAUUAUCAUCUUGUAUUGAGGAAUCAUAACGUUGUUGUAUCUCUUUACAAGGACAUAAAUUCACCGAAAUUAGUUCAAUGGAAAUACUACAGCAAGAGCAUGGAUGUUAAGACUUGAACCGUGCUAGAUUUAGAAUUCCUUAAACAUAAGAAUCCCUCCUCCCAGAUGAAUUUAGUACUAGUGAAAUUAAUGAAAGAACAGAUCUUAUAAAAACUCCUAAGGAAACCAAAAGAGUCCUCACAUAAUGUGCGCAGCUUACACAUCGAGCCCGCACGGGGUAUUUGACAUUUGUCAGUCUUCCUCCAGCCUUUGUCCGAUAGCAAAAAUUGUUCAACUAUUCAAUUCUUUAUACAUAUGUGUAUAGUGUAGUACGAUAAUAUAUGUAUAAAGUUAAUAUAAUAAUAAACACCUAAAUGACAUGAUUUUGCGGUAUUCGCCGCCAAUGUUUAAGGGACCAUAAAUCCGCAAAACCUUUCUCUCGAAAACUCCAAGUGCCGUCUCAUCGGAUGUUGACACCGUCCACGCUUCUGCACCAUAAAGUAGGACGGGAAUGAUGAGGGAUUUGUAGAGUUUAGUUUUUGCUCAUCGAGAGAGGACUUUACUUUUCAAUUGCCUACUCAGACCAUAAACACAAAUACUUUGCACCAAGGGAGGAUUACAAUAGCUACAACUUUUCUUAGGCAUGAUAAACAAGACAACAACAAAUCCCAUCGGACAUUUAGAUUAGCAGUUGCACAACCUCUUUUCGACGAGCUGAACCUUUUUAUGAUGUACAUAUGGGAUCGGAUUGUGUGGAAUUGACAUCAAACAAUAUUGGUUCAUUAGUUUCGUUGGAUCCUUACAGGAUAGUUAUAAUUCAUUUGCAAAAUAUUAUUAAAUAAUACAAAUGAAUGUUCGAAUACUAAUAAUAUUCGCAAUAGUAAUGGAAUUUUGUUUGAAUUGUAUAACAACAACUACAAAAAAUAAAAAAGGAAUAAUUAAUACUAAAUUUAUAUAUGAAAUAUGUAAAAAGUAAAAAUUUAAUAAUAAAUACUACCUUUAUUUUUAAAAUAUGUAAAUUUUGUCAAUGUAUAAAUAUAAAUGUUUGGUCCUCGGUAUGAUGUAUGGCGCUGAAGCGUGGACGAUGACAACAUCCGAUGAGACGACUCUUGGGGUUUUCGAGAGAAAGGUUUUGCGCAAGAUUUAUGGUCCUCUAAACAUUGGCAACGGCGAAUACCGCAGACGAUGGAACGAUGAGCUGUACGAUUUAUACGACGACAUUGACAUAGUUCAGCGAAUAAAAAGACAGCGGCUACGCUGGCUAGGUCAUGUUGUACGGAUGGAAGAAAACACUCCAGCUCUGAAAGUAUUCGAUGCAGUACCCGCUGGAGGAAGCCGCGGAAGAGGACGACCUCCACUCCGGUGGAAAGACCAAGUGCAAAGUGACCUGGCUUCACUUGGUGUUUCCAGUUGGCGCCAAAAAGCAAAAAGGAGGAAUGAGUGGCGCGCUCUGGUGGAUUCGGCUAUAAUCGCUUAAAGCGGUUCCUACGCCAAAUAUAUAUAUAUAUAUAAAUAUAAAUGUAUAAAAAAUCAGUGUAUAAAUAGCUGCAAAAACCUUUGUAAAAAAUCAAUGUAUAAAUAGCUGCAAAAAAGUUUGUAAAAAGUUCACUUUGUACUGAAAUGCUAAUAUUUAAAAAUUAAUCUAUAAUGAUU